Molecule: ribosomal RNA, 427 nt
Filed under: uncultured bacterium
Lineage: Bacteria
Description: bacterial SSU rRNA
Rfam family: Bacterial small subunit ribosomal RNA
Source: RNAcentral
UGGGGAAUUUUGGACAAUGGGCGCAAGCCUGAUCCAGCCAUGCCGCGUGCAGGAUGAAGGCCUUCGGGUUGUAAACUGCUUUUGUACGGAACGAAAAGGUGCCUUCUAAUAAAGGGCGCUCAUGACGGUACCGUAAGAAUAAGCACCGGCUAACUACGUGCCAGCAGCCGCGGUAAUACGUAGGGUGCGAGCGUUAAUCGGAAUUACUGGGCGUAAAGCGUGCGCAGGCGGUUUUGUAAGACAGAGGUGAAAUCCCCGGGCUCAACCUGGGAACUGCCUUUGUGACUGCAAGGCUGGAGUACGGCAGAGGGGGGUGGAAUUCCACGUGUAGCAGUGAAAUGCGUAGAGAUGUGGAGGAACACCGAUGGCGAAGGCAGCCCCCUGGGCCUGUACUGACGCUCAUGCACGAAAGCGUGGGGAGCAAACA